RNAcentral lists this transfer RNA (85 nucleotides) under Escherichia coli. Its description in RNAcentral is "tRNA-Tyr". The record is from RNAcentral. Lineage: Bacteria; Pseudomonadati; Pseudomonadota; Gammaproteobacteria; Enterobacterales; Enterobacteriaceae.
UUCGGGCAGAUGACGGCGGUGCACCGCGAGGAAGGGCUGAGCCAGUACCGUGCAUACGACAGCCGUGGACAGUUAAUUGCCGUGA